RNAcentral lists this long non-coding RNA (4219 nucleotides) under Gallus gallus (chicken). The record is from RNAcentral. Lineage: Eukaryota; Metazoa; Chordata; Aves; Galliformes; Phasianidae.
GGUAGAAUAUUGCUAAUGUUACGCACUUUAUUGUGCUUCUAAGAUUAGGUUGACUGACUGUACUGUCAUCUAUAAAUAUUGUUGAGCAUGAGCUGUAUUUUUUUGUAAGCUGUCCUGGAGAAACCUCUGAGUUUUACUCACGUGGUUGAUGUGGUUACUCUUCCUCUUCUCUCGCACAUCUGUUUGAGACUUGCUCAGGAAAAUUGUGCUUGCUCUGGGAUGAUCAGACGGAUUGGAUUCCAAGGCUAAAUCAUCCGGGAACUCGCGGUCGCUGAUGUGCUGGAGGUGCGGGCCGCCGCCGCCGGGCUCCGAGUCCCCCGAGUCGGCCUCCGCCGAGCCCGAGCCGCCGCCGCUCGCCGCCGCCUGGUACGCGUCCGCCCAGCGCUCGGGCCCCGCCGCCGCCCCGCCGCCGCCGCCGCCGCGGGCCCGGCCGAGCUUGGGGCUGGCGUCCGGCGACACGCAGCAGGUGACGGUGUUGCCCAUGGAGCUCGGCGCUCCCCCGCCGGGCCCCGGCUACGCGGCCGCCGGGUGGGGCGGGGGAGGGGGCGCGGAGGCACCGGGCUGAGGGAGGGAGGCGGGCGGGCGUCAGCGCUCAGCGCCGCAUCACCGUCGCCUCCGCCCCGGCGAGGCGCGGCCCACGCCCGCCCCAACGGCCGCAGCGCGAGCCGCCGCCUCCUGCGCGCGGCGACCGACGGCCCUGGCGGAGCGGCCACCUUCCCCCGGGCCGGGGGAGGGGGAGAGGCGCGGCCCCGCCUCGCCGCCGGCCAAUCGCCCGCCGCCGCCCCGCCGCGUGACGCCGCUCCGCCAACGGCCGCCGCCGUCGUCACGCGCCGCCGCCGCGCUCCGUCCCCCGCCCUCCCCGGGUGCACGCGCGCGCGCAGCACCGCCCCUCGCGCCUCCCCCGGCUCGCGCCCCGCCUUCGGGCCCGCCCGCGGGGGUGCGGGGCUCGGGGCGCGCGGCCGGCACGUGCCGGGAGCGGCGGCGCGAGGGGGGCGCCGCUCGGCGGCCGGGUGCGGGCCGGGCCGCGGCUCCUACCGCUCGCGAGCCGCCGCUCCCAGCGCCGGCCCAGGCGAGGAUCCGUGGCUCGCGGAGAGCGGCCUUCCUCUGCGCUCCGAGCCUCUUGGCCGUGUGGCGGCCCUCGCGCAGAGCUGGCGCGUCAGAAGAGCGCGAGACCCGCCGCCGGGUGCUCUGUGCGGCGGCGACGGCGCUGGGCGCACGGGGUUGCGCUGGGUGGAGGUGGCGCCACGCCUGCUCCGCACGGCCCCGCGCACACCGACUCGGUGCCGCGGCCGCAUUCCGAACGCCGCCCGCUGUGAUUUACCGCCGGUCCCAUCCUUUUCCUGUGCCACCCUUCUGCCAUCUCGCUUGAUUUACCCCCGUGAGUCAGCGGUUCCCAUCGCACCAACGCCCAUCGCUGUGCUGGGGGUGCGGCCCUCCCGCUGCACGCCGGGCUGAGGGCGAGCGCAGCGGCCUCGGGAUGUUCUGCGUGGAGUUGGUUGGGCCUUCCAAACGCGAACCUCGCUUUGUGAGGACAGAAAGUAAUUCCCUUCCGUUUGUGUUCACGGAGAAAAUGUGACCUAAAAAGAACGCGCAAAGCAGCAGCCCAGGGUUCUGGCUGGGACUGACACCCUGGCUGGUGUUAACACCGCGCAGGGGCCCUCCUGAGCUGCGUGCUCACCGUCAGCACGCGGGCCGCUCCACAGGCCUUCAGCUCUGUUCCCAGAGAUCACCUUUGGACCUUCCACAAGCUGGGAAACGAACCCAAACAGGAGCCCUCUGGGGGAGCGGCUGUAGCCGCCAGGAGAGCUUCCAGCAGCCCCAGGGCCGGGCAGGGCUCCAGGAUGAAGGCAGAUCACGGUGACAGCGGCAACCCGUAUUCCCCAAACGUGGGGAUGGAGCAGUGGUUUAUUCUGAAAACACAAAGCACCGGAUUCCCUCUUGCUGCACACACGGGGAGCCCAAAGGGCCGCUUACUGGAGCCCACCCAGUUCUGCUCCGGGUGGUUCUGCUCUGCACUUGGCCUGUUUGCCCCACACAUGAGUCGCUGCCUGCUGGCACUGUUUGCAGACGAGAGCUGCCCAGCCCAGGCCUUCCCCACAGCGGUUCCGUGCCAGCAGAUCCACUUGCAUUUGUGUUUGACUCCUGCAGAAGCCAAGUGCUGGAGCGCACAGCCACACAGCUCUCCAGCCCAGGCUCCACCAUACAGAGCCAUGAGAAGCUUUAUCCCUGAUUGCGGAGCCAGAAGCCAUCACUACCAGCUGCUGUCUGAACAACUCUUGGGAACCUCCAAUAUCUGUAGGCAUUAUAGCCCACACCAACGGCAUGGAGCAGCCAGGAGUCUCCCUGAAUGUCUGGAAGGACAGUGCAGGUCCUUAAGCCAUCAGCUUGGCAGCCAGCCUCAGUGCCAGGAGCAGAGACCAGCUCUUUGCAGAUGCUUGUUGUGCUUCACAGGGGCGAGAAUUUUAAAUCCUGUACAUUCUGCUCUUAUCUGCACCUUGACUCUGUGCCUCAUGUGCUUUCCCAAGGCCGUGUGCCUCCUUGGUUGUUUGCUGGGAGAUAACGGCAGCCCUGGCCUGAGGCCUCGUCCCUUCAGCCCUUCUUAGAAAGUGUCCCGGCUGCAGGCACAGGAGCGCUCUCCUGCCUGAGCCUCCGGCAGCCUGCGGGUGACUUGGAGAGGAGCCACGGCAUUGUCUUUUCCUGGAAACGUGGCUGCAGGAAGAGUGAAUCACAGGUUGGACCCGUGUAACCAACUGAAAACAAAAGCUCAGGAUUCUGCAUCUCACUGCUGUGAAUAAUGGGGGGAAAAGUGGGCAUCCUGUUUUGAAAUCCAGCACCAGCUGACAGGAUGAAAAUACUGCAGGCAUGAUUGUCUUCUGAGGCUCAGCAGUAACAAGGCUGUGGCCAUUUAAGGGAAAAAAACUGAAACAAAACAGUACUGAGGGAAACAGAUCCCAUGCCUCCGCUAGGACGUGAGUAAAAAGAAACCAGUGAGGUCGUUCACAACACACAGGGUCACAGGGUGAGGUUUAGUAGCCCUAAACGUUCUCAGUUUUCAGAUCACCUCCUGUGCUAUUGGCGAGCGGUGAGCAGUGCCAGCAGGGCUGGGAGCUGUGCCUCACUGCACACAGACUGCAGCACUGGUGUCACUGAUCCCACCUGUACCUGUGUCUCUGCAGCAAUCCAGGAUGUCAGCGCAGGCAGUGCAGAGGUUCUCAGCACACGAGCACCUGGAUCACUGCGGUGAUGCCAACAGCACAAACAUAUGGCAGUGAGUGUUUUUUUUCGACCUCGGAGUCUUUUUUUUGGAUCCUGCCUUCAUUUUGUCCUAAGGAAACAUAAAAGCAGCUUUUGCAGGUAUCGGAGGCUCAAGAGAAUGAACUGCAGCCGUGGAGUUAUGGACACCUGAUCCCCGAGGAGAGGAUCUCGGAUGCGCUGAAAUCAAGGAGGCUGUGCUCUGUGCUGCUGGGCAGAGUUGGCACAGCUCCUCUUCCCGAGGAGCCGAGCGUUGGAAAUAGCUGUACUGCAGGUCAUGUAUGCAGUUUUCCUAUAAGGAAAAGGGAAACGCUUUCCAGUAUUUUAACACAAACAUGAACGUGGUAUGCGUGACUUCAUUCAGAAACAGCAAACUGCAUGAGUAAGCCCCGCUGUAGGUUUGUUGAAAGAAAACUUAUAAAGGCUUAAUUCCAGCGUGGGCCAUGCAAAGCCUGGAAGGAGGCCCUGAGGAGCCCCUCUUGCGAGGUCUGAGGCACCAGAAAUUGCCUACAUGUGCCUGGUGCUUCUUCUCCUUUGUCUGAAGGGAUUUGUUUCUAAAGAGUGGAGAAAAGCUUCCUAAUACCAUCUCAAAUAAAUGAAUAAAUAAAUAAACCAACAAAAAACCAUUUUUCCUGGUUUCUACUUGGUUAAAAAGGGGAACCUGAUGCAUCUACCUGCAUGCUCGAGCUGCUGUCUGCUCGCCUAUACAACUGUUUUCAAACUGCCCUUAGUUGUUGUUAACUAGUUGUAAAUUAAUACAGUGCACGGCUUGCACUGUAAUUUUCCCUCCAAUUACACAACUCUGCACCUACAGAACACAUCAGAAAUGCGAGCGCUUAUAAUUAACCCUCUGGAUCUACAUUCAACCUCCACCAAAGGGUGUUUUUGCAGCACAGUUCCCAGCACAGCAGCAUCCCACAGGCAGACACCUGAGCCAGGCGCUCUGCAGCCCCCAGCCAGGCACCCC